CACUCCUGCGGGAGGCAGCAGUGGGGAAUAUUGGACAAUGGGCGCAAGCCUGAUCCAGCCAUGCCGCGUGAGUGAUGAAGGCCCUAGGGUUGUAAAGCUCUUUCACCGGUGAAGAUAAUGACGGUAACCGGAGAAGAAGCCCCGGCUAACUUCGUGCCAGCAGCCGCGGUAAUACGAAGGGGGCUAGCGUUGUUCGGAUUUACUGGGCGUAAAGCGCACGUAGGCGGACUAUUAAGUCAGGGGUGAAAUCCCGGGGCUCAACCCCGGAACUGCCUUUGAUACUGGUAGUCUUGAGUUCGAGAGAGGUGAGUGGAAUUCCGAGUGUAGAGGUGAAAUUCGUAGAUAUUCGGAGGAACACCAGUGGCGAAGGCGGCUCACUGGCUCGAUACUGACGCUGAGGUGCGAAAGCGUGGGGAGCAAACAGUAUUAGAAACCCGAGUAGUCCCA
Molecule: ribosomal RNA, 447 nt
Filed under: uncultured organism
Description: partial 16S ribosomal RNA
Rfam family: Bacterial small subunit ribosomal RNA
Source: RNAcentral